GUGGGGAAUAUUGGACAAUGGGGGGCACCCUGAUCCAGCGAUGCCGCGUGUGUGAAGAAGGCCUGCGGGUUGUAAAGCACUUUUAGUCGUGACGAAGAGAUACUUAUAAAUAGUGAGUAUGGAUGACGGUAGCGACAGAAUAAGCACCGGCUAACUCUGUGCCAGCAGCCGCGGUAAUACAGAGGGUGCGAGCGUUAAUCGGAAUGACUGGGCGUAAAGGGCGAGUAGGCGGAAUAAUAAGUGAAGUGGUAAAGACAUGGGCUUAACCUGUGGGUGACACGUCAUACUGUUAUUCUAGAGAGGAGGAGAGGAGAGUGGAAUUUCCGGAGGAGCGGUGAAAUGCGUAGAUCUCGGAAAGAACACCGGUGGCGAAGGCGACUCUCUGGCCUCCAUCUGACGCUGAGGCGCGAAAGCGUGGGGAGCAAACAGGAUUAGAUACCCGAGUAGUCC
Molecule: ribosomal RNA, 450 nt
Filed under: uncultured bacterium
Lineage: Bacteria
Description: bacterial SSU rRNA
Rfam family: Bacterial small subunit ribosomal RNA
Source: RNAcentral